GACGCCAGCGACCGUCGCUGCCGUCGCGGAUCACCAGGAAGCCACCGCCACCGUCGCGCCUCGGAUAUGUCGCGGAUCACCGGGACGCGGCCGUCGCGGAUCAGGAACACCAGGACACCACCGGCGGCGGCCCCUUGGAUACCGGCGACCGGCGGCGAUCUGAGACCAACGAGUCGGCACCACACCCCUGGUAGAGAUGAUGCUGCGGAUGGGAUGGGAAGAUGCGUGUGUGCUAGCUGCCAUUGCAGGGACUUUUUAUUUUUCGGAUAGUUCAGCGUCUUAUUACGAAUCUGAUAGUGCUAUCUGCCACACAUACACCAUGUUACAAAUCUAUUUACAUGCGACUCAGAGAAAGAAUUGCUUUGCAGGUUGCCAACAUCACGAAUUUCAUACUUAUGGAGUGGAGCCACCAAACUAUUUAUGAGGAAAUAUGUUGAAGCACUGAAUAUAUUCCAUUUGCAGUGGACAAACAGAACAACACAACACAUAAGCAGAGGAAAGACAUGGUUGCUCUUGCUUCAUCUAAAUAGGCCGUCUGGAAUGCCAUGAGACCAGGUUGUACUAUCAUUUUGAAUUUGUUUACUAACACCACAACUACCACAUCCUCGCUAAACGACAGAGGUUGCUAGCAACUGCACGUGGAAAGAUUGAAUGUGAUAUUCUGUCUACUAAUCA
This is a long non-coding RNA of Triticum aestivum (bread wheat), 675 nucleotides long. RefSeq lists it as uncharacterized. The transcript has 5 exons. The record is from RefSeq and is a predicted model, not a curated record. Lineage: Eukaryota; Viridiplantae; Streptophyta; Magnoliopsida; Poales; Poaceae.